This 593-nucleotide long non-coding RNA is filed under the name Homo sapiens (human). RNAcentral describes it as "non-protein coding lnc-PIGM-2:1". The record is from RNAcentral. Lineage: Eukaryota; Metazoa; Chordata; Mammalia; Primates; Hominidae.
UUCCUCUUUGGCGUGGUGUGGUAUCUGGUAGCUGUGGCACAUGGGGACCUGCUGGAGCUGGACCCCCCGGCCAACCACACCCCCUGUGUGGUACAGGUGCACACACUCACUGGAGCCUUCCUCUUCUCCCUUGAAUCCCAAACCACCAUUGGCUAUGGCUUCCGCUACAUCAGUGAGGAAUGUCCACUGGCCAUUGUGCUUCUUAUUGCCCAGCUGGUGCUCACCACCAUCCUGGAAAUCUUCAUCACAGGUACCUUCCUGGCGAAGAUUGCCCGGCCCAAGAAGCGGGCUGAGACCAUUCGUUUCAGCCAGCAUGCAGUUGUGGCCUCCCACAAUGGCAAGCCCUGCCUCAUGAUCCGAGUUGCCAAUAUGCGCAAAAGCCUCCUCAUUGGCUGCCAGGUGACAGGAAAACUGCUUCAGACCCACCAAACCAAGGAAGGGGAGAACAUCCGGCUCAACCAGGCAGCCCAGAGAAGAUCUGUUUCCCUGUGUCCUGUGAAUGGAAGGACCCAAGCCAAUAUGUUCCUUUGAAAAGAGUCCAGUACCCAGGCCCCAUGGAAAGGUCUGAAAAUAAUAUUCCAGAUUACACUGUA